This 722-nucleotide unclassified non-coding RNA is filed under the name Hevea brasiliensis (rubber tree). Lineage: Eukaryota; Viridiplantae; Streptophyta; Magnoliopsida; Malpighiales; Euphorbiaceae. The record is from RNAcentral.
GUAAUUCCCAAUGAUCGUCUGCUAGAUAUUGCCGAUGAGCAGACACCACUUCAAGAUGCUUUUCUUCUUGCGGAUGAUGUAUUACGUCAAGGUGUCCAAGGAAUAUCUGAUAUAAUCACUAUUCCUGGGCUUGUGAAUGUGGAUUUUGCCGAUGUAAAGGCAGUGAUGAAAGACUCUGGAACUGCAAUGCUCGGAGUGGGUGUUUCAUCAAGUAAGAACCGAGCUGAAGAAGCAGCCGAACAAGCAACUCUGGCCCCUCUAAUUGGGUCGUCAAUUCAAUCUGCAACUGGGGUAGUAUAUAACAUUACAGGAGGAAAAGACAUAACUUUGCAAGAAGUGAAUAGGGUGUCCCAGGUUGUUACCAGUCUAGCUGAUCCCUCUGCUAACAUCAUAUUUGGUGCUGUUGUUGAUGAGCGUUACAAUGGUGAAAUACACGUGACAAUAAUUGCAACUGGUUUCACCCAGUCGUUUCAGAAGACACUUCUAUCUGAUCCACGGGGAGCAAAGCUAAUCGAGAAGGGGGCAGGAAUCAAAGAAAACAUGGCAUCACCUGUUACCCUGAGAUCAUCAAACACACCUUCAACAACCUCACGGACACCUACUCGAAGGCUGUUCUUUUAGCUCCUUCAUAUUGUUUUAUUUUACAGCUUCAUUACUCUCCUUUUUAGUUUCUUCCUUUGUAGUUAACAUGUUUUGCUGAAGGGAAACUGAUUGGUGUUUGC